AGCGGCGGACGGGUGAGUAACGCGUGGGAAUAUGCCCUUCUCUAAGGAAUAGCCUCGGGAAACUGAGAGUAAUACCUUAUACGCCCUUCGGGGGAAAGAUUUAUCGGAGAAGGAUUAGCCCGCGUUAGAUUAGGUAGUUGGUGGGGUAAUGGCCUACCAAGCCUACGAUCUAUAGCUGGUUUGAGAGGAUGAUCAGCCACACUGGGACUGAGACACGGCCCAGACUCCUACGGGAGGCAGCAGUAGGGAAUCUUAGACAAUGGGGGAAACCCUGAUCUAGCCAUGCCGCGUGUGUGAUGAAGGCCUUAGGGUCGUAAAGCACUUUCGCCAGAGAUGAUAAUGACAGUAUCUGGUAAAGAAACCCCGGCUAACUCCGUGCCAGCAGCCGCGGUAAUACGGAGGGGGUUAGCGUUGUUCGGAAUUACUGGGCGUAAAGCGCACGUAGGCGGAUUAGUAAGUUAAGGGUGAAAUCCCAGGGCUCAACCCUGGAACUGCCUUUAAUACUGCUAGUCUUGAGUUCGAGAGAGGUAAGUGGAAUUCCAAGUGUAGAGGUGAAAUUCGUAGAUAUUUGGAGGAACACCAGUGGCGAAGGCGGCUUACUGGCUCGAAACUGACGCUGAGGUGCGAAAGUGUGGGGAGCAAACAGGAUUAGAUACCCUGGUAGUCCACACCGA
RNAcentral lists this ribosomal RNA (674 nucleotides) under uncultured bacterium. Its description in RNAcentral is "bacterial SSU rRNA". It matches the Rfam family "Bacterial small subunit ribosomal RNA", at positions 94 to 803 of the family's 1533-position model. The record is from RNAcentral.